GGCGACCGGCGCACGGGUGAGUAACGCGUAUGCAACUUGCCUAUCAGAGGGGGAUAACCCGGCGAAAGUCGGACUAAUACCGCAUGAAGCAGGGAUCCCGCAUGGGAAUAUUUGCUAAAGAUUCAUCGCUGAUAGAUAGGCAUGCGUUCCAUUAGGCAGUUGGCGGGGUAACGGCCCACCAAACCGACGAUGGAUAGGGGUUCUGAGAGGAAGGUCCCCCACAUUGGUACUGAG
Molecule: ribosomal RNA, 234 nt
Filed under: Parabacteroides distasonis
Lineage: Bacteria; Pseudomonadati; Bacteroidota; Bacteroidia; Bacteroidales; Tannerellaceae
Description: partial 16S ribosomal RNA
Rfam family: Bacterial small subunit ribosomal RNA
Source: RNAcentral